AAGCUUGAGCCUCUUUUUACUUAUACACGAGAAAUAAGCCAGUGUGGUUCCUUCUAGUUGUUUCAUGACUCCAAGAGAGCAGACUAAGAGGUGCUGCUACUACUACCUGUUGUACUAUUAUAUAGGUUGUUGUGCUAUUCUACUACUAAUAUGCAUACGAAACAAAGAAAGCAUAUCCUUUUCUCUUUGACUCUAUGAAACUUCCCGCCUUUAAUACUACUAUUAUUAUAGGAGGUUUAGUAUACUCUUAAGCUAAUAGCUUGAACUGGCGGCUUCUUCAGACUCGAAUGCUACACCAACACUAGUCUAUAUCCUCUAGGUCCAGUACUACUAUUUAUAAAGGUGGUUGCUCCAGUCGUUCCACCCAUCUCUCAUACAUAAUAAUAGUAGUGUAUCGAACUAACUUCCUGUUGUUCCUUGUUGUGGUGACCUCCACCGAGUCACGGAUGAGACAACAACCUAGAUAAGUACUGAGUUCAUAGAACUCACUCUCAAACGAAGCAUGAGAUAUAUACAAAAACUAACUACUCAACCUCUGAAACUACUAGCAUCGUCAAGGGGAGUGAAGCAAGAAGUAAGAAGAGAGAGGGUUGUUGUUGUGGUUGUUCAAUGAGGCAUACAGUUUAAUAAUUAGGUAGUGUAAGAAAGAAGAUCAGUUGCUAACUAAACAAUAUCCAUCUUUUCUCUUCUAAUCGAUAUCUUGAAGUUGUGGAAAAGAGAGUUCUAGACUAACCAACAACCCCAUCAUCAAUAACAACGACUACUACAUUGUGGAUCCUUUCUCUAGGUUGUUGGAGGAUCUGUGCCAAGGUAAAAGAGUACACGGUAACAAGAUGAAGAAGCAUACAACGAGUCAUACUUGAAACCAACUACUACUACGAUGGGGCUAGCUACAUGUGGGGAUCACCAUCCUUAUUAGUAGGACUCUUGCUUGUGGUACCAUCUAUCUAUUAUUGGUAGUGCCCUUGUGCUACUAGAGACAACUUGACUGCAUGGUUGCAUCAGACCGGGGGGGAGCAGCUAUAUGACUAGUAGAUCGAAGGCUGUUCCUCAUGAGCUACUCUGCGCUGGUAGAGCAUCCCUAUAGCCAACUCCGUAAAAGAUACUCACAUCUCGGAGAGAGCAAACAAGAGAAACAAGCUAGUCGUUCAGUGAGUGUAGUAUUAGUAUUAGUAGUUCGUAGUAGUAGUAGUCGUAAC
RNAcentral lists this long non-coding RNA (1199 nucleotides) under Amborella trichopoda. RNAcentral describes it as "long non-coding RNA (ATRI_LNC003294)". The record is from RNAcentral. Lineage: Eukaryota; Viridiplantae; Streptophyta; Magnoliopsida; Amborellales; Amborellaceae.